This 278-nucleotide long non-coding RNA is filed under the name Phoenix dactylifera (date palm). RNAcentral's name for it is "long non-coding RNA (PDAC_LNC002984)". Lineage: Eukaryota; Viridiplantae; Streptophyta; Magnoliopsida; Arecales; Arecaceae. The record is from RNAcentral.
GAAGCCGAAAGCAAGAAAAACAGAGUUUAGACUCAAGCAGGACAUGAAGUAUGAGAAAACCCGAGACUAGUGCAUCUCAGCUGGACACAAAGCUAUCACACACAAAUCUCAAAGUCGGCUACCCACAGACCCAUAUACACCAUUGCCCCCUGUAUUGUAUUUAAAAUAUAUACCGAAAUCCAGCCCCUGUCCAUCUAGAACUGCUCCUAUCAGUCCAUGGGCCCUGUACAAGCGCGUGGGCGCUGCAAUCACCCAUGCAGCCCUGUCACCCCCUCCUC